Molecule: ribosomal RNA, 508 nt
Filed under: uncultured bacterium
Lineage: Bacteria
Description: partial 16S ribosomal RNA
Rfam family: Bacterial small subunit ribosomal RNA
Source: RNAcentral
GACGAACGCUGGCGGCGUGCCUAAUACAUGCAAGUCGAACGCUUCUUUCCUCCCGAGUGCUUGCACUCAAUUGGAAAGAGGAGUGGCGGACGGGUGAGUAACACGUGGGUAACCUACCCAUCAGAGGGGGAUAACACUUGGAAACAGGUGCUAAUACCGCAUAACAGUUUAUGCCGCAUGGCAUAAGAGUGAAAGGCGCUUUCGGGUGUCGUUGAUGGAUGGACCCGCGGUGCAUUAGCUAGUUGGUCAGGUAACGGCUCACCAAGGCCACGAUGCAUAGCCGACCUGAGAGGGUGAUCGGCCACACUGGGACUGAGACACGGCCCAGACUCCUACGGGAGGCAGCAGUAGGGAAUCUUCGGCAAUGGACGAAAGUCUGACCGAGCAACGCCGCGUGAGUGAAGAAGGUUUUCGGAUCGUAAAACUCUGUUGUUAGAGAAGAACAAGGACGUUAGUAACUGAACGUCCCCUGACGGUAUCUAACCAGAAAGCCACGGCUAACUACGUG